AGAGAGAGACAUGCGCGCAUAUCAAUAAGCGGAGGAAAAGAAACUAACAAGGAUUCCCCUAGUAACGGCGAGUGAAGCGGGAAGAGCUCAAAUUUGAAAUCUUAAAGGGUUUCCCUUUACGAAUUGUAGUUUAAAGAAGUGUUUUCUGUUGAGGUUUUGGUAAAAGUUCUUUGGAAUAGGACAUCAUAGAGGGUGAGAAUCCCGUAUUUGACCUUUACUUUCAACUUUGUGAUACACUUUCAAAGAGUCGGAUUGUUUGGGAAUGCAGUCCAAAAUGGGUGGUAAAUUUCAUCUAAAGCUAAAUAUUGGCGAGAGACCGAUAGCGAACAAGUACCGUGAGGGAAAGAUGAAAAGAACUUUGAAAAGAGAGUUAAACAGUACGUGAAAUUGUCAAAAGGGAAGCGUUUGACACCAGUGUUGUUUUUCUGAAAAUCAAUUAAAGAACUGUUUAUGCUAAGUUGUUUAGACUUUAUCAGCUAACUGUUUAGUUUUGAGCUUUUCUUUAAUGCACUUUUCAGUUAACAAGUCAACAUCAAUUUCUUUUGCUGUAAAAAAGCUUGAGGAAGGUGGCUUGAGAUUCGUCUUAAGUGUUUAUAGCCUCUUGCCUAUGCAGUCGGAGAGAUUGAGGUCUGCAGCGUAGAUCCUUCGGGGCUAAAUGCAUUUGUGCUAAGUUAUAGCAUUUUAUAGACAACUUGUUGACUAUGAUUUGUCUUGUAGCUUACUCGCUUAUGUUAUUUUACCUACGCUUAGGAUGUUGAAGACUCUACAGAGAUAU
RNAcentral lists this ribosomal RNA (775 nucleotides) under uncultured Neocallimastigales. RNAcentral's name for it is "partial large subunit ribosomal RNA". It matches the Rfam family "Eukaryotic large subunit ribosomal RNA", at positions 23 to 634 of the family's 3401-position model. The record is from RNAcentral. Lineage: Eukaryota; Fungi; Neocallimastigomycota; Neocallimastigomycetes; Neocallimastigales.